CAAUAGUUGGCACCUAAUGGAUCUCCUAAAGGGGAUCAAAUAACUAAGAAAAUAAGAAUUCCUAAUACAAGUAAAAUGUAUAUUAAGAGGCUGUUCAGUUUUGAAUAAGAUUCAAACCUUUUACCCAUUUAAAGAAGCUUUCUCUAAGGCUCCUAAUCUCUGAUUUUUGAAACAUACAUGCAUAUCCCGACAUGCAAUUCCAGUAGC
Molecule: long non-coding RNA, 207 nt
Filed under: Elaeis guineensis (African oil palm)
Lineage: Eukaryota; Viridiplantae; Streptophyta; Magnoliopsida; Arecales; Arecaceae
Description: long non-coding RNA (EGUI_LNC012982)
Source: RNAcentral